UACGUAGGGGGCUAGCGUUGUCCGGAAUCAUUGGGCGUAAAGCGCGUGUAGGCGGCCCUGUAAGUCCGCUGUGAAAGUCGGGGGCUCAACCCUCGAAUGCCGGUGGAUACUGUCGGGCUAGAGUGCGGAAGAGGCGAGUGGAAUUCCUGGUGUAGCGGUGAAAUGCGCAGAUAUCAGGAGGAACACCAAUUGCGAAGGCAGCUCGCUGGGACGUAACUGACGCUGAGACGCGAAAGCGUGGGGAGCAAACAGG
RNAcentral lists this ribosomal RNA (253 nucleotides) under uncultured bacterium. RNAcentral describes it as "partial 16S ribosomal RNA". It matches the Rfam family "Bacterial small subunit ribosomal RNA", at positions 524 to 776 of the family's 1533-position model. The record is from RNAcentral.